ACGAUGGAGUAACCUUCGGGAGCUAGUUGUCUAAGGUGGGACAGAUGAUUAGGGUGAAGUCGUAACAAGGUAGCCGUAGGAGAACCUGCGGCUGGAUCACCUCCUUUCUAAGGA
This 114-nucleotide ribosomal RNA is filed under the name Apilactobacillus timberlakei. RNAcentral describes it as "Lactobacillus timberlakei partial 16S ribosomal RNA". It matches the Rfam family "Bacterial small subunit ribosomal RNA", at positions 1427 to 1533 of the family's 1533-position model. The record is from RNAcentral. Lineage: Bacteria; Bacillati; Bacillota; Bacilli; Lactobacillales; Lactobacillaceae.